GACGAACGCUGGCGGCGUGCCUAACACAUACAAGUCGAGCGAUGAAGUUCUUCGGAACGGAUUAGCGGCGGACGGGUGAGUAACACGUGGGUAACCUGCCUUGCAGAGGGGGAUAGCCUUCCGAAAGGAAGAUUAAUACUGCAUCACAUCUUUUUAUAGCAUGGUAGAAAGAUCAAAGGAGUAAGCCGCGACAAUAGGGACCCGCGGGGCAUUGGCUAGUUGGUGAGGUAACGGCUCACCAAGGCGACGAGGCGUAGCCGACCGGAGAGGGUGAUCGGCCACAUUGGAACUGAGACACGGUCCAGACUCCUACGGGAGGCAGCAGUGGGGAAUAUUGCGCAAUGGGGGAAACCCUGACGCAGCAACGCCGCGUGAAUGAAGAAGGCCUUAGGGUUGUAAAGUUCUGUUUACGGGGACGAUAAUGACGGUACCCGUGGAGGAAGCCACGGCUAACUACGUGCCAGCCGCCGCAGUAA
RNAcentral lists this ribosomal RNA (476 nucleotides) under uncultured bacterium. RNAcentral's name for it is "partial 16S ribosomal RNA". It matches the Rfam family "Bacterial small subunit ribosomal RNA", at positions 28 to 523 of the family's 1533-position model. The record is from RNAcentral.